GUUCGGCGAGCCUCCGCCUGGUCACUGCGCGACAGAACAAGAGUUCAUCCAACAUGCACACAUCACAGAGCAUCCUGCCUCUUCUUCAAGACCCACUCAGAUGAAGCAGGAUAAACAAAAUCCUGAAGAUGAACUGACUCCAUGUGCAGCAGCCUUCAGCCUUCAUCACUGGAGCUCUGCUGCUCCCUCAUCACUCAGUACGGGAAGGUGGGGUCUAUCCAUCGGGGCGUGGACCAUGACUACCAGCUGGAGUCGGCUGAGCGCAAAUAAGAUUCAGAAAUGGUGUCAAGUCAAAUGAAAGCCCCACCAACACACAGGAAGUACGGACGUGCAACCUUCAAAAUAAAGGCAUGCAGGACGGCUUCACCAACAAAGCCUUCUUUCUUUUCCUGUUCCAUGCAAAGUCAUAGAUAUGCUAAGAUAAAGAAAUAGAGUUGAACAUAAAGAGGUUGCGAAGAAGUGUAGACAAAAACAAUGGUAGUUGCAGCUGAGAAAACUUGCAGAAAUAAAAUGAAAAUAAAAAACAAUGUCAAAAUCUCAAAAAGUCAUCUUACAUCAAUUACAGCUUGAAGAUUUCUGUGUUCACAAAUGGCCUUUUAGUCUGCAGAGAACUCAUGUUACAUCAUAAUAUUCAGAAGUGCAUUUGUGGUUCAGCCACUUUUGAUUUCUUGCAAUUAGUGAUGAACUGGUUUAAAAACAAAUUACAUUCGAAAAAUUAGAGGAAGUGAAGUUUAUGGUCAGCUAGGCAGCCGGUACCAUGCAAAUGCCAAAAGUUCACCUGAAAGCAGAUUUUUUAAUUAAAACUAUCUUUUUCAGUAGAAAUUACCAAACCUUGAAAAUGUCUAACCUACAGAAUUAAAAAUCUGAUUCAGUAAAGCUGUUUCACAUGACGGCUCUUCGAUUGAAUCACGUCAACUGUGUACCCGGUGUUUGCCCAGAAGUGGCUGGGAUAGGCUCCAGCAACCCCUUGACCCUGAAAGACAUUUUGCUGGUUUUAAAAUGGAUUAAAAGGUGUUUCAGUUGAAUUUUGUCGAAGAAAAUAAAAAAAAAAGUACUAUGAUUCUGCAUCUUAGCAAUAAGUAGUAAACUUGAAGUUGAUUUUCUUAUGUAUACUGAAGUAUAAAUAAAGCAAGUCUACUAUAGACAUGUAUGUAUAGUUUAGGAUGUAUACUAACUUAAUACUACUUCAGACCAAAUUGGAAGAUUUUUUGUUAAACACGGAUAAUACAUAAAAAGCAAACUUCAAGUAUACUGCCUCACUUUUAGUAUAGACUAAAUACUCAGACUAGGAGACUUUAAUAUACUAUUUUUCUGCUAGGGGUUGCUACAGUGAAUCACCUGCCAGUUUGUGAUUCACACAUUUGAUUUGGCUUUAAAUUUAGGGGUCAAAUGGUGUCAAUCCUCCGCACUUAGGACCAGCACAUAAAAAGCACUGAAUUGUACAGCCUUAUGGCUGCAUUAAAGUUAACCGCAAUGCUAACACUCUGAUCAAGGCUAGAUUGUUUCUGUAAAUAAGUAGAAAAAAUAAUUAAUGUGAACUUUCUGGUGUUUCUAAGCAUUUAAAAGUUAACUUUUGAAUAAAGCCAUGUCCUCUUUUUUACAUUUUUUGACAACAAUGGGAUUUUAACGAAUCUGGAAGAAAAUUGGUCAUAAAUAAAUAAUGUGCGAAAUGCAACAGAAGGAGCCAAGCUAAGAGUUGUGGUUUUUCAUCUGAAAUUUGUAGAAAAAGGGUGCAGAAUUUUGUUUUUGUUUUUUAAAGAAUCUUGUUUUAAACCAUCUCUGUGAUGAAGCAAUUAGUGAUGAUGCUUAUCUACCUCAGCAGAUAGAAUAAUGUCACAAGCCUUGCAUAACCAACACAUUCAUAUUUUUUGUUUUAUUUUAUUAAUAUCAUUAUUGUUAUUAGCACUGAUAUGAUUACAGCUUUCAAUCUCAUUGUUCCUGCAAACAGUGACAAUAAAGGCAUCUGUUCACAA
This is a non-coding RNA of Oryzias latipes (Japanese medaka), 1973 nucleotides long. NCBI's taxonomy places the organism in Eukaryota, Metazoa, Chordata, Actinopteri, Beloniformes, Adrianichthyidae. The record is from RefSeq and is a predicted model, not a curated record.